This 254-nucleotide ribosomal RNA is filed under the name uncultured bacterium. Its description in RNAcentral is "partial 16S ribosomal RNA". It matches the Rfam family "Bacterial small subunit ribosomal RNA", at positions 524 to 776 of the family's 1533-position model. The record is from RNAcentral.
CACGUAGGGUGCGAGCGUUGUCCGGAAUUAUUGGGCGUAAAGAGCUCGUAGGCGGCGUGUCGCGUCGGCCGUGAAAACCUGCAGCUCAACUGUGGGCUUGCGGUCGAUACGGGCAUCACUGGAGUUCGGCAGGGGAGCCUGGAAUUCCUGGUGUAGCGGUGAAAUGCGCAGAUAUCAGGAGGAACACCGGUGGCGAAGGCGGGACUCUGGGCCGAUACUGACGCUGAGGAGCGAAAGCGUGGGGAGCAAACAGG